Molecule: long non-coding RNA, 1253 nt
Filed under: Monodelphis domestica (gray short-tailed opossum)
Lineage: Eukaryota; Metazoa; Chordata; Mammalia; Didelphimorphia; Didelphidae
Description: lncRNA (ENSMODG00000034051.2)
Source: RNAcentral
UUUUAGCUGUGUUCAAUUCUUUGUGAUUCCAUUUUGGGGUUUUCUUGGCCAAAAAUACAUUGGAGUGACUUAUCAUUUCCUUCUCCAACUCAUUUUACAGAUGAGGAAACUGUGACUUACCUAGAGCCAUUCACCUAGUAAAUGUUUAAGGACAGAUUUGAAUUCAGGAAGAUGAGUUUUUCUGACUCAGGGCUGGCAAUUUGUUCACUGUGUCACCUGGCUAUCCUGCUUUGGAUAUUACAUUCAGAUAAUCUGAUGAUUCCCUAAUCUUUUCUCAAUCUGUUUUCCAGUUUUUGCUUUGAGAUACCUCGGUUUUUUUUUUCUAUUUUAAAGCAUUUUAACUUUUUUCUAAUUUUUUUUGUUGUCUUAUAGAGUCAUGACUCUGUUGUCAUUUAAUAUCAGGAGUAGUUAUCUGAUGGGCAGAUUUGUACUCUCGAGCAAUCUAUAAUUAUCUUCCAAUUAUUCAUCCAUAUUUAUCAUUUAUUUUCUAAUUUUUUCCCUUAAGCACUCUCAUUCCAUUUAUUAAAACUCUUAAAAAAAACUUUGAGUUUGUGUCUAAACUGUGUUUUUCUAAGGCAGUGCUUAUAAAUAUUUUGGAAUCUUUAUCUUCUGUGUUUGUGUGUUAUGUGUCCUUGUUAACAUUAUAACUCAUUUUGAUGGAGUUCUAUUGGUUGCUCAUUCUUCUAAUCUACUUCCUGACUUCAGACUUGAUGUCAGAUUUGGGCUCCUGAGCACUUUGGGAGAGAAGCUGGGUUCAGUCCAUUGUUUCAUGAUCCACAAACAAGUUGGGGAUCUUAGCUUUCAGCACCCGGCAAAGUAGUCUAAUUCAGGGCAAAAUCUGAUUGUUUUCUCCCUGGCCAGAGUUCUGCAAGUUCCUGACCUGUAUUUGGUUCUGAAAUGGGAUGCUCCUUGAGGGCAAGUACUGAGUUUUCAAAGACACAGAAAUGGGAGCUGGAGUCUCAUGUUUGAGGAACAACAAGAAGGCUAAUUUGGCUGGACAGAAGAGUAUAUUAAUGUCUGAAAAGGCACAAGGGUCAGCCUAUUCAAGGUGCUUUGGAUCUUGGAGUCCUCCUCUAUUAACUCCUUUGACAUUAAUUGGGGAUGAGGAUAGAACCCACCCCUGUAUAUGCAGUGUAAAUACAAGAAGUUUCCUAAUAAAUACAGGAGUAAGACAAGGAUGUUCCCUUUUCUCACUGUUAUUUGACAUCAUCCUUGAAAAACUAAAAAUAUCAACCCAUAAAUUCACGGCAUAA